RNAcentral lists this long non-coding RNA (997 nucleotides) under Gossypium barbadense (sea-island cotton). RNAcentral describes it as "long non-coding RNA (GBAR_LNC008153)". Lineage: Eukaryota; Viridiplantae; Streptophyta; Magnoliopsida; Malvales; Malvaceae. The record is from RNAcentral.
GAGAAUCUAGUGAAAGCAGAACCCGCGCCUUAAGGAAGAGUAGGAGAAGUUGGCAAGUAGAUUCCCAUUCCUUGGGCUACGAAACUCUUCUUCCCAUCUCGAAGAGAAAUGGGUUAACAAGAGAAAGUAGUAAACUAACCAUCCUCUAAGAAGGAAGUAAGCUGCCCUCUAAUCCUAACAACUACCGUAUUGGUCCUACCCUCGGGUGAUUUCCCCUCUUCUUCUUUUUUUACAUGAGACCAUGAGUUCAGAGUCGACUUGAGCGAGAAGAAUUUUUAUUUUGUCACAGAAUUUUUUCCAUUUUGAUUUCUCUUUAUUUAUCGUGCUUUUACCAUGUCUCCCGAACAAUCUCAGUACAUAUGGCGGAAGACGAUUCCACAUAUCGAGGUCGAAAUGGGAUCAGGUAUUUUCACGUCUUACCGUAGUGCCCGGUUUGUCUUAAUUUCCUAUUGACGAACAAGAAGGAAAAUGGAACUCUUUUCUUUUUGACUCGCCCCCGGCUACGUAUCCUUUUGAUUUUAGCUCUUCUCGCUCAAGUCGACUCUGAACUCAUGGUCUCAUGUAAAAAAAGAAGAAGAGGGGAAAUCACCCGAGGGUAGGACCAAUACGAUAGUUGUUAGGAUUAGAGGGCAGCUUACUUCCUUCUUAGAGGAUGGUUAGUUUACUCCUUGCUCUUGUUAACCCAUUUCUCUUCGAGAUGGGAAGAAGAGUUUCGUAGCCCAGGGAAUGGGAAUCUACUUGCCAACUUCUCCUACUCUUCCUUAAGGCGCAGGUUCUGCUUUCACUAGAUUCUCUAAAGCUAAAAUCAAAAGUGGGUCGCCAAAAGGAGUAGACAAACUAAGUGAAAAGUCUGUUGAAGACCAGAUGCCCUAACGUCAUAACAAUUAUAUGUAACAGCAUGGCUAGAAAGAAUAAAUUAAAUUGACCAAAAACAAGGACAUGACGGAAUCACCGACCCGAAAGAGAUGUAUCGAAGCUCUCAAGCGGCCCGGCCUAU